GGCUCCAUAGCUCAGUGGUUAGAGCACUGGUCUCGUAAACCAGGGGUCGAGAGUUCAAUUCCCUCUGGGGCCU
RNAcentral lists this transfer RNA (73 nucleotides) under Petromyzon marinus (sea lamprey). RNAcentral's name for it is "tRNA-Thr (CGT) (tRNA-Thr-CGT-7-1)". It matches the Rfam family "tRNA". Rfam says of the family: Transfer RNA (tRNA) molecules are approximately 80 nucleotides in length. Their secondary structure includes four short double-helical elements and three loops (D, anti-codon, and T loops). The record is from RNAcentral. Lineage: Eukaryota; Metazoa; Chordata; Hyperoartia; Petromyzontiformes; Petromyzontidae.